UUGACAGGAAGUAUCGUCUUUUGAAAUCUUUAAGUACAUGUCGUUUCUAAUGACAUCUUUUAGAUGAAUGAUUCGUGUAAAUAUGCUAGUUCUUUCAUGAUUAUGUGAUAGGUGGUGCAUGGCCGUUCUUAGUUCGUGGAGUGAUCUGUCUGCUUAAUUGCGUUUCACUAUGGCCCCAAAGUUAGCAAGUUAUCCAAUCAUGACCUUCGUCGACCCCUCACCUUUGAGUGCGCGUCCUAGCUUAGAGUACAUGGUGUAAAUGGACUUGUUUUGGGUACCCAGAAAGCAACGAACGUGACCGCAACGUCUUGUUGUCUCUCUUUUGACAGUUAUGGGUUAUCCCAGUCAUGUGCUUAUACUUUUAUGUGUAAAUACGUACGACACAGAGACUAGAUACCAAACUAGGCGUACCGCUGUAUCAUUUCUUUAAACCAGAGGAAGGUUGCGGCAAUAACAGGUCUGUGAUGC
RNAcentral lists this ribosomal RNA (468 nucleotides) under Neogloboquadrina incompta. RNAcentral describes it as "bacterial SSU rRNA". The stretch from base 52 to 468 matches the Rfam family "Eukaryotic small subunit ribosomal RNA", at positions 1227 to 1470 of the family's 1831-position model. Lineage: Eukaryota; Foraminifera; Rotaliida; Globorotaliidae. The record is from RNAcentral.